UGAGAGGUUUUACAGGUGUCUUUGUUCCCU
RNAcentral lists this non-coding RNA (30 nucleotides) under Rattus norvegicus (Norway rat). The record is from RNAcentral. Lineage: Eukaryota; Metazoa; Chordata; Mammalia; Rodentia; Muridae.